Molecule: ribosomal RNA, 467 nt
Filed under: uncultured bacterium
Lineage: Bacteria
Description: partial 16S ribosomal RNA
Rfam family: Bacterial small subunit ribosomal RNA
Source: RNAcentral
GACGAACGCUGGCGGCGUGCUUAACACAUGCAAGUCGAACGGAAAGGCCCUGCUUUUGUGGGGUUCUCGAGUGGCGAACGGGUGAGUAACACGUGAGUAACCUGUCCUUGACUUUGGGAUAACUUCACGAAACUGGGGCUAAUACCGCAUAGGAGCUCUUGCUGCAUGGUGGGCGUUGGAAAGUUUCGGUGGUUGGGGCUGUACUCGCGGCUUAUCGGCUUGUUGGUGGGGUAGUGGCUUACCAAGGCUUUGACGGGUAGCCAGCCUGGGAGGGUGACCGGCCACAUAGGGCGUGAGAUAGGGCCCGGACUGAAACGGGAGCAAGCGGUGAGAAAGAUAGCACACAGGGCGGAAGACGGAUGGAGCAACGUCGGGUGGGGGAUGACGGCUUUCGGGUUGAAACAGAUUUGGCAUGUGACGAAGCGUGAUUGACGGUAAUGGGUAAAGAAGCACCGGCUAACUACGUG